GUACCACUGAGCUACACUCCCAGCCACACGCUUCUGUUUUAAUCCUCCCCAGGACAUUGUGAGCUCCUUCCACAAAGAUGUAUCUCUUGAAGGAAGCAAAGAUCGGUUUUGCUCAAGGUUGCAUUCCCAGAUAUUG
Molecule: long non-coding RNA, 136 nt
Filed under: Cavia porcellus (domestic guinea pig)
Lineage: Eukaryota; Metazoa; Chordata; Mammalia; Rodentia; Caviidae
Description: lncRNA (ENSCPOG00000036349.1)
Source: RNAcentral